GCAGCUGCUGGUUCAGUUUCUUGCUCAAGGACACUUUGGCUGGGAUGGAACCACCAACCGUGCAGUCAGAGGACAACUGCUGCAGCACCUGAGCCACAGCCGCCCUUCACCUACACUGACCAUGAUUUAAUGUUGACAGGCAAUAAAAGUGGAAAACUCUCCAGGAGGGUGAAUAGUUUUGCAGGCGCAGCAAAAUACAGCCUCAGAAUGCAGCUUUCUUCAGCUGGUACGACGCCACAGACCACAGGAGAAAGACAGGAACGACUUGUUGUCAUGCUGCUUCCUGUUAUUAAAGAAGUCCACCGCCUUGUCAGAGCCCUCUUGGAAGACAGAAUAUGAUUCAACCAGCAGCAUCGACAGAAGUCAGGAGUGUCGAGAUGGACUCAAAGUGGAAGAACUGGGAUCUGUCCAGAAGAACUCUCAGAGAAGCUGCAAGAAAACGAGAAGUUGUUUUUUUUUAUUGUGAAUGCACAAAGGAACGACCUGGAAACUUUGGCGGAUGUGCAGCAGCUCUGCAGGUCUUCUACAGAUUGAGUUGUUUCAUUGAUUGGGAACAAGUAAAAGUCCGUCUGUUUGAGGCUGCUGGGAAGUUAUUUCCAUAGUAGCCCAUCGACGGGCAACUAUAGAGUCA
Molecule: long non-coding RNA, 631 nt
Organism: Stegastes partitus (bicolor damselfish)
Lineage: Eukaryota; Metazoa; Chordata; Actinopteri; Pomacentridae
Exons: 2
Source: RefSeq, a predicted model, not a curated record